Molecule: ribosomal RNA, 433 nt
Filed under: uncultured bacterium
Lineage: Bacteria
Description: partial 16S ribosomal RNA
Rfam family: Bacterial small subunit ribosomal RNA
Source: RNAcentral
AACGAACGCUGGCGGCAUGCCUAACACAUGCAAGUCGAACGAUGCCUUCGGGCAUAGUGGCGCACGGGUGCGUAACGCGUGGGAAUCUGCCUUUCGGUUCGGAAUAACUCAGGGAAACUUGAGCUAAUACCGGAUAACGUCGCAAGACCAAAGAUUUAUCACCGAAAGAUGAGCCCGCGUAGGAUUAGCUAGUUGGUGAGGUAAAGGCUCACCAAGGCGACGAUCCUUAGCUGGUCUGAGAGGAUGAUCAGCCACACUGGGACUGAGACACGGCCCAGACUCCUACGGGAGGCAGCAGUGGGGAAUAUUGGACAAGGGGCGAAAGCCUGAUCCAGCAAUGCCGCGUGAGUGAUGAAGGCCUGAGGGUUGUAAAGCUCUUUUACCCGGGAAGAUAAUGACGGUACCGGGAGAAUAAGCCCCGGCUAACUCCGUG